CGUCUUCGUCGUUACGUCAUGACCCUGCGACGAAGUUCUCCACUCUGAGCAUGUGAGCUGUUGAUCUCGCUUUGCAACGUUCAGAUAUGGAGAAGUGGUGGAAGAGUAAACCAGAAGUGUAACGGAGUACAAUCCUGAGGAACAUUUCUGAGUCUAAGAAGAUUUUUGCAGUCACUAAUCUUGUAAUAAAUUGUCAAAAAAGGACAACAGACUAAAAGAGAGAUGGUGGAUAAGAUGGCAACAAAGGGUCAGAUGUAUUAUAGUGAGAAAGGACAACAGAAGAUGAGGGAGCACGGUCAGAGUGAGGAAGGUGGUGGAAAUAGAAAGCUCCUGGAUAAGAUGUCAGUGGGCUACUUCCGCCGUGUCACUGACCAACUAAGUGAAGAAUUCCCAGAUGAUGUAGAGCGAGGUCUGUUUGUAAAGAAUGUUCUGUCAGAGGUGAAGGGAAAAGCUGACCUUGUUGCGAUGGAUAGGAUAGGCAGUGUGGCUCUCCAGAAGCUGCUGGCGCUGGCUCAGCCCACUCAGGUGGGAGAGGUUCUCGCUGAACUGGGUGGAGAGACAGGUUCGGAGUUUAAGACUGUGUCAUGUGACCGGUGUGGUGGUCAUGUCAUAGAAAGCGCCCUCAAGCAGAUGGUCAGGUGGACAGAAGACACACCCUCAGAAGAGAGCUCACAAACUGAAGAAGAAACUGAUGCAGGGAACUGUGGGAUGCUGGAGGCUCAGGUGCUAUCUCUGUGUCGAGUAGUAAGGGAAAAUAUUGUGGAGUUCAUCAAAGACACUCAUGGAACUCAUGUCGUACGAACUCUCCUACAUGUCCUUGCAGGCUGUUCAACUCAGGAUCAGUCUGAUACUCGUCCAGCUAAAAAGCAGAAAAAAGCCGAACCUGAACUAACAGAUUUUGAAGUGCCAGUAUCUUUUUGGUGGGAGCUAAAAUACCUUUCAGACACACUUAUGGAAAAUGUCAAAGUGUGUGUCGCCAAUUUCACUGCCAGCGCUGCGCUUCAGACACUGCUGGUGGUCUGUCACAGGAAGAGACCCAUUCUGGGCAAGAAGCUAAACAAAGGCAUCAUGGCAUACCUGACAUCUUUCAGCUCAGCUCCUGGUGUCAGUCCGCUCUUAGUGUUUAUGAAGGACAAGGUGUGCAGUCGUCUUAUCCAGACAGUGUUUCAGUUCUCUAGUAAAGUCCAGCUCCGGGAUACCUACAAGAACCAUCUCAGGAAACAACUGAUGCCGCUGGCGCUUCAUGAGUUCGCAAACUUCACCAUCCAGACCUUGAUAGCAGUCUCAGUCAAAUACAAAAUGUUCCUGAAAGUGUUUGAUGAGCUGGCAGAGGGGUUUGAAGCUAUACUGGCUGCAGGGCACUUGGGUGUCAUAGUGCAGCUAGUGGAAAGCUGUGCGCAGAGAGAAGAGCGGCAGGCUAAGGUGCUGCAGCUUCUCUUCCAGGCUUUUCACUGCGAUGAGCCCGCUACACGGCAUCUCUCUUGCCUCCCCCUCUUCCUGUCCAUACUGGCGUAUGAGGUCUACUACAACUCUGAGUCAGCAGAGGGCGAUGUGGCACCUCAGCGCCCCCUCUCGAUCUGCUAUCAUGGCUCCCGCCUUGUCCAAGCACUGGCCUCUUUCAAAGACCGCUCCAUCCUGAUGAACAGCCUUCACAGCCUGAGUCCUGCUGAUCUGCUGACCCUGGGCACUGACCCUGCGGGCAGCCACGCCAUGCAAGCCUUGAUCAUAUCAUGCAGUGAUAAAGGCAAGGGAAAGAUGUUGAGGAAGCUAGAGGGGUUGUACACACAGUUAGCCUGCUCCCGAUAUGGCAGUCGUCUGUUGGAAGCCAUGUGGAACAGCGCCACCAUCAGUCAAAAACAGAGCAUUGCGGAGCAGCUGGUCCCCAGUGAAACGCAGUUGAGAUCGGAUCAGUUUGCUCGCCACGUAUGGGGCAAAUUUGGCCUAAUGCACUUUCAGAAGAGACGCGCUGCCUGGCUAGAGCUCCAGACAGGAGAGUCUAAGAAGAGGAAGAUGUUCAGUGACAUUCUGGAUUAACUGGUUUUGACCAAUACUUUUUGGGGUUCUUAAACAAAUGUUGUUUCACCUGAAAUCUGUUUAAUCUCAGGCCAGUCCAUUCCUUCCAUGGAUUAACUCAUUCUAAGUGUCAAACUUCAGGGCUUGCCUCAGAGACCGAGUGACAGUCAUCAAGCAUGAUUCUCCCACAGGGCCCUCAAUGUUGGGGAUUUCCUGGGGGGCUCUGAGCCUUGCCCCCUCCUCCUCAUUAGCGAUCCGUUGAUGGAUAGCAUGGUUAAUUGUGGGCCUGCAGACCAGUUCUAGACCUGCCCAUCUGCUCCAGCCCCGCAGCUGUGAACGCUUAUCAGUUAGGAGGUCCUUCAGUGGAGUUACUCCAGCUGGGCUCUCUCUCUCGUUCUCUCUCUCUCUCUCUCUCGUUCUCUCUCUCUCUCACUCUCACACACACACAUGCACGCACUCUCAGGGAGCAGCAGAACUAGUUGAUAGUGCAUUGUUAUGGUCACUAGUCUUGUCGCUUCUGCUGUUGUUGACAUUGUUCUCUCGAGAUAUUAUCUAUACAGCACU
Pygocentrus nattereri (red-bellied piranha) is the source of this 2577-nucleotide RNA transcript. It is a transcript of the gene named nucleolar protein 9, with no coding region annotated. The record is from RefSeq and is a predicted model, not a curated record. NCBI's taxonomy places the organism in Eukaryota, Metazoa, Chordata, Actinopteri, Characiformes, Serrasalmidae. The transcript has 13 exons.